CGAACGGGUGAGUAAUACAUCGGAACGUGUCGAGAAGAGGGGGAUAACCACCCGAAAGGGUGGCUAAUACCGCAUAAAUUCUGAGGAAGAAAGCUGGGGACCUAGGAAUAGGCCUAGCGCUUUUUGAGCGGCCGAUGUCUGAUUAGCUAGUUGGUGAGGUAAAGGCUCACCAAGGCGAAGAUCUGUAGCGGGUCUGAGAGGAUGAUCCGCCACACUUGGACUGAGACACGGCCCAG
RNAcentral lists this ribosomal RNA (236 nucleotides) under uncultured Neisseriales bacterium. RNAcentral describes it as "partial 16S ribosomal RNA". It matches the Rfam family "Bacterial small subunit ribosomal RNA", at positions 99 to 334 of the family's 1533-position model. The record is from RNAcentral. Lineage: Bacteria; Pseudomonadati; Pseudomonadota; Betaproteobacteria; Neisseriales.